RNAcentral lists this long non-coding RNA (2480 nucleotides) under Homo sapiens (human). RNAcentral describes it as "HSALNT0111745". The record is from RNAcentral. Lineage: Eukaryota; Metazoa; Chordata; Mammalia; Primates; Hominidae.
UCUCUCUCUUUCUCUCUCUCUCUCUCUUUCUCUCUGGAUAUGUACCUUAGGAGGCCUGAGUUAACAUGUAAGAUGUCUAACUAUCCCGAAGCCACUAUGCUGGAAGGAUCACAUGGAGAGACCACAUAGAGAUACAAAGAUGCCUGAGGAAACCCAGCUGUUCAGCACAGAUGUUUUUUAGUUUUCCCGUUGCCCAGGCAUGCGAGUGAGUGAGCUUUCCAAAGACUUUAACCCCAGCCUUUGAGCUGCCAGAGCUGACAUGAAGUAGAACAGAGAUGAGCUGAGCUUUGCCCCACCUGCAGAUGUAUAUAAAGAAAUUGACACAACUAAUUAGAAGCCGGGUCCAAGAUUUUCAUUUAUAAAGUCUACUUCCAGCACUCACUCUUUGACCCCCUAUACUUCAUACUCCAGAGUGACUCCAAACAAAGACUAUGGAACUUCCCACAUACACCCCUUUUGGCUGAGCUGUAUGGCCAUAAGCGUAGAGACUUGCAGCUGUAUGUGGCCGUGAAUGAGAGACCCAGAGAUGGAAGCUUCACAGCAUUUGUGGCAGUAGCGGCAGAAAUGCAUCACACAUUUGAGUCCCUAGAUGGCCUUGUGGAGAAACGUCUACCUGCCACCCUGGACUAUUAGAGCUGAAAGAUAAGCGGUGGGUCCUGCUAUCAACUUGUAGUAAAUACCUUCCUUGUUAUGAUAAGGCAUCACACCCUGUUGCAGUCAAAUUCUUAACCACUGCAGUUCCAUCACAGACAUGAAAAAGAUGCAGGCAAGAUAUGGAGUGUCUUCAUGGGGGAGAUUCAGAAGCCAUGGAUGGUGUAGAAAGAAAUAUUCUUCAAACAAAACCUUAUGAGGAACAGAACCAUAGCUCCUGAAACUGUGUGAAAGCAAGAGAAAGAGAGUCUUUUGUCAAUAGUCUGUCCACACAUAUCCAGACCCAACCCAAAGUUACAACCUGACCUCCACGAUCACUUUCCCUCACAGGGACCGCACUAUGAGGAACACGCCAAAGUUGAGAAAGGGUAAGAUUCUUGCCCAACCUCAAGACCAGUGCUAUUCUCUUCACGCCAAGGCAGGAAGAUCACUGAAGCCCAGAAGUUCGAGGCUAAAAUGAGCUAUGAUUGUGCCAACGCACUUCAUCCUAGGCAACAUAGCAAAACCCUAUCUCUAAAAUAUAAACAAGUAAAAUAAAUUUAAAAAUAAUUGUGGCGUGUGGCAAUUAUUGAUAAUGCCUCAUAGCCCCAAAUUCAUCCCUGGUUGCCUUCCCUGUGAAAAUAAAUCUAGGCCCUUCACCUUUAUUUUUUUCUUUUUUGGCUAUCAUGAUGCUAAACUUAUCAGUAGAGGGCAAUACAAAGACAUUUCAAGAAGGCAGAGGCUUCCCUCCUGGUAGUGCACUUUUUCCCCACUGUCUAUUCCACGUGGUUUUCACCAUUGUCAAGGGCUUAGAGGGUACAGCUUUCACAGUGUGUUUUCUACAGUUCUUGACUCAGGAAACAAUGGCAUAGUGGAAGCCCCAGAAAAAUCUGACCUGUGCGCUAGCCCUGUUAACUGCUGCCCACAACCCUGAGUGAUAUGAAUGUAAGGGGUACUGUGGAGCUGAUAAUCAGCAAGCUUGUGGCAUGACCUCCAUCCUGUGUAGCCCAGAGCCACCCUACCCAAGCCACAAAUAGAAAAGCUCUGGGUUUUGAUGCUGACUCUCUAUGGUCCCACUUCUUAGCCUAAGAUCACCUGUGCCCUAGAGAGUUGUACCUACUUCGCCUGGUGACUGUGGACCAGCUCUGCAGGAAGCAAUUUACCAAAUGUCUCUGCGAUCCAGUGGUCAGCAAUUACACCUUCUUCAGUGUGGUCAUAGCCUCUUUCCAAAUUUGUCCUUCCUUAACUACUCUCCCUGUUUUCAUGUUUAUAGUUGUUCUCUUAUCAUUGUUUAAUAAUUUUUAUGUUAAAUUUCCCAUGUUUAAAUUACUAAGUCGAUAUUGUCUCUUGAUUGUACCCAGGCCAAUAAAUGGUACUAUAAAUAUUGUGUUUAUAUUUCAAUAUACAUUGUUUUAAGGUGACUCCCAUGGAGUUUAUAAGCAAGAUAAUGCUUGAGCAAAAUCUAGUACAUUGCAAUAACCUAGGUGACCACAUCAUUUCUCGUGCAAUAAUCAUUUUUAUGUCUCAUAAGAUAUAUGAAUAUAUUAUAAAUUAGAAACAGGAAUAAUUAAACAGAAAACAAUAGCAUAUGACAUGGCAAAGGCAAUAAAAUAAAUAUAUAGGCAAUAUAGGAGCAACUAUGAAAGACUAGGACUUGCAAUAUCAUAUAAAGGAAUUUAAGAACCGAAAUUGAGUAGUCAUUCUUGUUAACAGUGUAUUCAUUUUGUUUUCAUAAUCUUAUUAUCAUGCUGUAACUGUGCUAUAAAAGAGAUAUUGACAAAGACAUGCUUCAGUUAAGGCAGUUUACAUAUGAGCAAAAAAUUUUGGAAACAUUGGAAUUGUUAGUAUAA